AACACUGAGGCGUGACGACGAGGCACUACGGUGCUGAAGCAACAAAUGCCCUGCUUCCAGGAAAAGCCUCUAAGCAUCAGGUAACAUCAAAUCGUACCCCAAACCGACACAGGUGGUCAGGUAGAGAAUACCAAGGCGCUUGAGAGAACUCGGGUGAAGGAACUAGGCAAAAUGGUGCCGUAACUUCGGGAGAAGGCACGCUGACACGUAGGUGAAGUGAUUUACUCAUGGAGCUGAAGUCAGUCGAAGAUACCAGCUGGCUGCAACUGUUUAUUAAAAACACAGCACUGUGCAAACACGAAAGUGGACGUAUACGGUGUGACGCCUGCCCGGUGCCGGAAGGUUAAUUGAUGGGGUCAGCGCAAGCGAAGCUCCUGAUCGAAGCCCCGGUAAACGGCGGCCGUAACUAUAACGGUCCUAAGGUAGCGAAAUUCCUUGUCGGGUAAGUUCCGACCUGCACGAAUGGCGUAAUGAUGGCCAGGCUGUCUCCACCCGAGACUCAGUGAAAUUGAACUCGCUGUGAAGAUGCAGUGUACCCGCGGCAAGACGGAAAGACCCCGUGAACCUUUACUAUAGCUUGACACUGAACAUUGAGCCUUGAUGUGUAGGAUAGGUGGGAGGCUUUGAAGUGUGGACGCCAGUCUGCAUGGAGCCGACCUUGAAAUACCACCCUUUAAUGUUUGAUGUUCUAACGUGGACCCGUUACCCGGGUUGCGGACAGUGUCUGGUGGGUAGUUUGACUGGGGCGGUCUCCUCCUAAAGAGUAACGGAGGAGCACGAAGGUUGGCUAAUCCUGGUCGGACAUCAGGAGGUUAGUGCAAUGGCAUAAGCCAGCUUGACUGCGAGCGUGACGGCGCGAGCAGGUGCGAAAGCAGGUCAUAGUGAUCCGGUGGUUCUGAAUGGAAGGGCCAUCGCUCAACGGAUAAAAGGUACUCCGGGGAUAACAGGCUGAUACCGCCCAAGAGUUCAUAUCGACGGCGGUGUUUGGCACCUCGAUGUCGGCUCAUCACAUCCUGGGGCUGAAGUAGGUCCCAAGGGUAUGGCUGUUCGCCAUUUAAAGUGGUACGCGAGCUGGGUUUAGAACGUCGUGAGACAGUUCGGUCCCUAUCUGCCGUGGGCGCUGGAGAACUGAGGGGGGCUGCUCCUAGUACGAGAGGACCGGAGUGGACGCAUCACUGGUGUUCGGGUUGUCAUGCCAAUGGCACUGCCCGGUAGCUAAAUGCGGAAGAGAUAAGUGCUGAAAGCAUCUAAGCACGAAACUUGCCCCGAGAUGAGUUCUCCCUGAGACUUAAAGUCUCCUGAAGGAACGUUGAAGACGACGACGUUGAUAGGC
RNAcentral lists this ribosomal RNA (1333 nucleotides) under Salmonella enterica subsp. enterica serovar Enteritidis. Its description in RNAcentral is "partial 23S ribosomal RNA". It matches the Rfam family "Bacterial large subunit ribosomal RNA", at positions 1552 to 2861 of the family's 2925-position model. The record is from RNAcentral. Lineage: Bacteria; Pseudomonadati; Pseudomonadota; Gammaproteobacteria; Enterobacterales; Enterobacteriaceae.